UACAGAGGUGGCAAGCGUUGUUCGGAAUUACUGGGCGUAAAGGGCGCGUAGGCGGCCCACUAAGUCAGACGUGAAAUCCCCCGGCUUAACCUGGGAACUGCGUCUGAUACUGGAGGGCUUGAGUAUGGGAGAGGGAUGUAGAAUUCCUGGUGUAGCGGUGGAAUGCGCAGAUAUCGGGAGGAACACCAGUAGCGAAGGCGGCACUCUGGGCCGGUACUGACGCUGAGGAGCGAAAGCGUGGGGAGCGAACAGG
RNAcentral lists this ribosomal RNA (253 nucleotides) under uncultured bacterium. RNAcentral's name for it is "partial 16S ribosomal RNA". It matches the Rfam family "Bacterial small subunit ribosomal RNA", at positions 524 to 776 of the family's 1533-position model. The record is from RNAcentral.